GGCCAGGUAGCUCAGUUGGUAGAGCAGUGGACUGAAAAUCCUCGUGUCGGUGGUUCGAUUCCGCCCCUGGCCACCA
Molecule: transfer RNA, 76 nt
Filed under: Betaproteobacteria bacterium
Lineage: Bacteria; Pseudomonadati; Pseudomonadota; Betaproteobacteria
Also listed under: 18 other names
Description: tRNA-Phe
Rfam family: tRNA
About the family: Transfer RNA (tRNA) molecules are approximately 80 nucleotides in length. Their secondary structure includes four short double-helical elements and three loops (D, anti-codon, and T loops).
Source: RNAcentral